RNA transcript from Salvia splendens (bonfire salvia), 6044 nucleotides. It is a transcript of the gene named diacylglycerol kinase 7-like, with no coding region annotated. The transcript has 37 exons. The record is from RefSeq and is a predicted model, not a curated record. Lineage: Eukaryota; Viridiplantae; Streptophyta; Magnoliopsida; Lamiales; Lamiaceae.
UUUUCCCGUUGCAAUCUAUUUCAUAUAAUAAAAUUAGGGCUCCCCAACUUCAUCCCAUUCCGUCACUCUCUCUCGCUAGGGCACUUACUCCGACUUCCUCCUCAUCAGUUCUCUCCCGCCGGCGAUUGGCCAAGUCGCCGUCCAUCCCACCGUCCCUUCUUUCCGCUCUCUCUCUCUCCCACAUGAAUUGAUUGUCUUGACUGGAGAAUUUUGUUAAUCUUGGAGACAAUUGCGCAAAAGCAACCCGUGAGAAAAUUAAGAUUGUGGUCUUUGAAGAACAUCUUGAGGAUUUACGUAAAGAAGGUCGUUUGAAAUGGGAGAAAUGCAAAUUCCAGUCUUAUCAAGCGUGAGAUCUAUUGUUGUUCUUAAUCUUCCUAACUAUGGAAGCGGAAGAAAUCCAUGGAGCAAGCUAAAGCCAGAUUAUCUAGAGAAGUAAGCGGUUGCACAACAACAGUGGAUAGGGAAAGAGCCCCCCCCUCCUGGUUUUUUGGGAGAUCAAGGCAUAGUUACUUUUAUAUAAUACAUAUUCUGGUGGCUUCUGCGUCUCCUCUCAACUGAUGCCGAGGGGGUUUGUUCAGGCUUACCCCAAUGAUGGUUGUCUCGAAAAUUUUGGUCUUAAACAUGGAUGGCUUGCUUUGAUGGUUAUGGCUGAAGUAAUAUCCUCCAAACACAUAGAACAGAUGGUGCAAAGGUUGAAGAGGAGAAAUAUAUGCAGUACUUCUUUGAUGAUUGGUUUAGUUUCAUUGAUCAACAUCAACCUAAGGCUGUCAUAUUCUCCGAUGCUUGUCCGGACACAAGGUGGAUUGGGGACGAGGCUGCUGUCGCUGGAGUACCUGUUGGUCUCUCUUCAACCGCAUCAAUUACAUUAUUGGCAACACUGAUAUGGAUGCUCAAGUUGCAUAUAGUUUCCACCAUUUAUGAAAUGAAAAACCUUACCUUGCUCAAGGUCCCAUUUCAAAUAAGGACUUCUGUAAUCAGGCAACACUAGGGCAGAAAGUGUAGAAAGAAACAAGGGAGGGUUGGAAUAAGAGCAAGAUGGGGAGAAAAGAAAAAAAAGAGGAAGCAAAUAUGUGGAAAAAAAAGAAAAAUUGGUGGAACAGAUGUUGAAAAGCAGAAAAAGAAGAAAAAGAAGUGAAAAAAGAGAGGAAGUAGAUAUGAGGAAAAAAAAAAGAAAAAAUGGUGGAACAGAUCUAGAAAAAGAAAAACACAGAGAGCAGUAUAGGCUAUUGGAGAAAGGGACGGGGAGUUUUGUGAUGGAGUAGGGGGAGGGGAAGACGACGAUUUUUCGAGGUUUCAACUUAAAGCACUACUGGACGAGAAAUCAAGAGAGGAAAAUGAGAAUGCAAACUUGACUAGGGAAAACCAGCUACCUGAAUCAGCUAGUGGAGUACCCUCACUUAACAGAUCCGAAAUCGCAUGAAAAUAAGUGUGUAUGCUGAAAGCUGCAAAGGAACUAGAUGGAUAAUGUCAGCUUGCUAUCCAAUUUUUCUUAUUCAUGAAAUUAAGAGGUACGAGAACUAUUGUAGUGAUCAGCAAAGUAUAUCAAUCAUCAUCAGGAAUCUAACCUGGAAAAAGUUGCAAGAGUUGAGGAAACUCCUCCCCAAAAGAGAGCUCUAAAGAUAAAAAAGAAAAUGGUCCAGAUUCGGGAAAAGCACCCAGUCUAUUAUUGAAGGCAACGAGUAUAGUUCCGUCUAAGACUGUCCCUUAAAGAAUGGAUAAAUACACUAAGAAAUAUCAUCAGUUCAAAAGGAGGACAAGAGAAGGGUGAAUCUGGCCCUCCAUUGCGCCAAAGUCUUUCCAUGGUUCUCUUGAUACUAUAUGUGAUGAAGGUAUGGAUGCCCAAGUUGCAUACGGUUUCCACCAUUUACGCUAUGAAAGAACUUACCUUGCACAAGGUCCCAUUUCAAAUAAGCAGGACUUUUGUAAUCAGGCAACACUAGGGCAUAAUGUGUAGAAAGAAACAUGGAAGGGUUGGAAAAGAAGGAAAAAAACAGAAAAACCAAGAAAAAAAGAGGAAGCAGAUAUGUGAAAAAAAAAGAAAAAAAAGAAAAAAUGGUGGAAGCAGAUAGGUGGAAAAAAAGCAAAAAAACAGAGAGCAAAAUCAAAGAAAGAGACGGGGAGCUUCGUGGUGGAGUAGUGGGAGGGGAAGACGGCGAUUUGGCGAGGCUUCGACUUAAAGCACUUCUGGAAGACAAAUCAAGACCGGAAAAUGAGAAUGAAAACUUGACUAGGGAAAACCAGCUACCAGAAUCAGCUAGUGGAGUACCCUCGCUUAACAGAUCCGAAAUCCAAUGAAAAUAAGGUACAAGGACUAUUGGGGUGAUCAGCAAAGUAUAUCAAUCAUCAGUAUGAAUCUAACUGGAAAAAGUCUAGUAAUCAUGAUAACAAGUAUAGUUCUGUCUAAGACUGUCCCUGAAAGACCAUACUGCCGUUGUUUUGAAGGCUAAAAGUGCUACUGACAAGGCAGAAUGGAUAAAUACAGUAAGAAAUAUCAUCAGCUCAAAAGGAGGUCUUGUGAAGGGUGAAUCUGGCCCUCUAUUGCGCCGAAGUCUUUCCGAUUGUUCUCUUGUAUGGAUGCCCAAGUUGCAUACGGUUUCCACCAUUUACGCAAUGAAAGACCUUACCUUGCACAAGGUCCUAUUUUAAAUAAGGACUUUUGUAAUAAGGCAACACUAGGGCAGAAUGUGUAGAAAGAAACAUGGAAGGGUUGGAAUAAGGGUUGGAAAAGAAGAAAAAAAACAGAAAAACCAAGAAAAAAAAGAGGAAGCAGAUAUGUGAAAAAAAAGAAAAAAAAGAAAAAAUGGUGGAAGCAGAUAGGUGCAAAAAAAGCAAAAAAACAGAGAGCAAAAUCAAAGAAAGAGACGGGGAGCUUCGUGGUGCAGUAGUGGGAGGGGAAGACGGCGAUUUGGCGAGGCUUCGACUUAAAGCACUUUUGGAAGACAAAUCAAGACCGGAAAAUGAGAAUGAAAACUUGACUAGGGAAAACCAGCUACCAGAAUCAGCUAGUGGAGUACCCUCGCUUAACAGAUCCGAAAUCCAAUGAAAAUAAGAGUGUGUAUGCUGAACGCUGCAAAGGAACUAGAUGGAUAAUGUCAGCUUGCUAUCCAAUUUUUUUCUUAUUCAUGAAAUUAAGAGGUACAAGGACUAUUGGAGUGAUCAGCAAAGUAUAUCAAUCAUCAGUAUGAAUCUAACUGGAAAAAGUCUAGUAAUCAUGAUAACAAGUAUAGUUCUGUCUAAGACUGUCCCUGAAAGACCAUACUGCCGUUGUCUUGAAGGCUGAAAGUGCUACUGACAAGGCAGAAUGGAUAAAUACAGUAAGAAAUAUCAUCAGCUCAAAAGGAGGUCUUGUGAAGGGUGAAUCUGGCCUUCUAUUGCGCCGAAGUCUUUCCGAUUGUUCUCUUGUAUGGAUGCCCAAGUUGCAUACGGUUUCCACCAUUUACGCAAUGAAAGUCCUUACCUUGCACAAGGUCCUAUUUUAAAUAAGGACUUUUGUAAUCAGGCAACACUAGGGCAGAAUGUGUAGAAAGAAACAUGGAAGGGUUGGAAUAAGGGUUGGAAAAGAAGAAAAAAAACAGAAAAACCAAGAAAAAAAAGAGGAAGCAGAUAUGUGAAAAAAAAAAAAAAAAAGAAAAAUUGGUGGAAGCAGAUAGGUGGAAAAAAAGAAAAAAAACAGAGAGCAAAAUCAAAGAAAGGGACGGGGAGCUUCGUGGUGGAGUAGUGGGAGGGGAAGACGGCGAUUUGGCGAGGCUUUGACUUAAAGCACUUCUGGAAGACAUAUCUAGUCCGGAAAAUGAGAAUGAAAACAUGACUAGGGAAAACCAGCUACCAGAAUCAGCUAGUGGAGUACCCUCGCUUAACAGAUCCGAAAUCCAAUGAAAAUAAGAGUGUGUAUGCUGAACGCUGCAAAGGAACUAUAUGGAUAAUGUCAGCUUGCUAUCCAAUUUUUUUCUUAUUCAUGAAAUUAAGAGGUACAAGGACUAUUGGAGUGAUCAGCAAAGUAUAUCAAUCAUCAGUAUGAAUAUAACUGGAAAAAGUCUAGUAAUCAAGAUAACAAGUAUAGUUCUGUCUAAGACUGUCCCUGAAAGACCAUACUUCCGUUGUUUUGAAGGCUAAAAGUGCUACUGACAAGGCAGAAGGAUAAAUACAGUAAGAAAUAUCAUCAGCUAAAAAGGAGGUCAAGUGAAGGGUGAAUCUGGCCCUCCAUUGCGCCGAAGUCUUUCUGAUUGUUCUCUUGUAUGGAUGCCCAAGUUGCAUACGGUUUCCACCAUUUACGCAAUGAAAGACCUUACCUUACACAAGGUCCCACUUCAAAUAAGGACUUUUGUAAUCAGGCAACACUAGGGCAGAAUGUGUAGAAAGAAACAUGGAAGGGUUGGAAUAAGGGUUGGAAAAGAAGAAAAAAAACAGAAAAACCAAGAAAAAAAAGAGGAAGCAGAUAUGUGAAAAAAAAGAAAAAAAAAGAAAAAUUGGUGGAAAAAAAGAAAAAAACAGAGAGCAAAAUCAAAGAAAGGGACGGGGAGCUUCGUGGUGGAGUAGUGGGAGGGGAAGACGGCGAUUUGGCGAGGCUUUGACUUAAAGCACUUCUGGAAGACAAAUCAAGACCGAAAAAUGAGAAUGAAAACAUGACUAGGGAAAACCAGCUACCAGAAUCAGCUAGUGGAGUACCCUCGCUUAACAGAUCCGAAAUCCAAUGAAAAUAAGAGUGUGUAUGCUGAACGCUGCAAAGGAACUAGAUGGAUAAUGUCAGCUUGCUAUCCAAUUUUUUUCUUAUUCAUGAAAUUAAGAGGUACAAGGACUAUUGGAGUGAUCAGCAAAGUAUAUCAAUCAUCAAUAUGAAUCUAACUGGAAAAAGUCUAGUAAUCAAGAUAACAAGUAUAGUUCUGUCUAAGACUGUCCCUGAAAGACCAUACUGCCGUUGUUUUGAAGGCUGAAAGUGCUACUGACAAGGCAGAAGGAUAAAUACAGUAAGAAAUAUCAUCAGCUCAAAAGGAGGUCAAGUGAAGGGUGAAUCUGGCCCUUCAUUGCGCCGAAGUCUUUCCGAUUGUUCUCUUGUAUGGAUGCCCAAGUUGCAUACGGUUUCCACCAUUUACGCAAUGAAAGACCUUACCUUACACAAGGUCCCACUUCAAAUAAGGACUUUUGUAAUCAGGCAACACUAGGGCAGAAUGUGUAGAAAGAAACAUGGAAGGGUUGGAAUAAGGGUUGGAAAAGAAGAAAAAAAACAGAAAAACCAAGAAAAAAAAGAGGAAGCAGAUAUGUGAAAAAAAAAGAAAAAAAAGAAAAAUUGGUGGAAUCAGAUAGGUGGAAAAAAAGAAAAAAAACAGAGAGCAAAAUCAAAGAAAGGGACGGGGAGCUUCGUGGUGGAGUAGUGGGAGGGGAAGACGGCAAUUUGGUGAGGCUUUGACUUAAAGCACUUCUGGAAGACAAAUCCAGUCCGGAAAAUGAGAAUGAAAACAUGACUAGGGAAAACCAGCUACCAGAAUCAGCUAGUGGAGUACCCUCGCUUAACAGAUCCGAAAUCCAAUGAAAAUAAGAGUGUGUAUGCUGAACGCUGCAAAGGAACUAGAUGGAUAAUGUCAGCUUGCUAUCCAAUUUUUUUCUUAUUCAUGAGGUACAAGGACUAUUGGAGUGAUCAGCAAAGUAUAUCAAUCAUCAGUAUGAAUCUAACUGGAAAAAGUCUAGUAAUCAAGAUAACAAGUAUAGUUCUGUCUAAGACUGUCCCUGAAAGACCAUACUGCCGUUGUUUUGAAGGCUGAAAGUGCUACUGACAAGGCAGAAUGGAUAAAUACAGUAAGAAAUAUCGUCAGCUCAAAAGGAGGUCUUGUGAAGGGUGAAUCUGGCCCUUCAUUGCGCCGAAGUCUUUCCGAUUGUUCUCUUGUAUGGAUGCCCAAGUUGCAUACGGUUUCCACCAUUUACGCAAUGAAAGACCUUACCUUGCACAAGGUCCUAUUUUAAAUAAGCAGGACUUUUGUAAUCAGGCAACACUAGGGCAGAAUGUGUAGAAAGAAACAUGGAAGGGUUGGAAUAAGGGUUGGAAAAGAAGA